CGUGAGAAAAUGUAAAAACAAGAUGACAGUGGAGAUCCAUAAUAUUUUGUUUGAACCCUAAUUUCCCAAAAUUCAUUUUCAACAAUACAUUCUCUCGAUAAAAUAAUUUUAUAUGUAAAUACAAUUUUUCCUUUUUUUUUUUAACCAUGCAUUCUUCUAAAAUUCACUAUUCCAAAAUCGAUUAACCCCCAAAAAAUGGGGUCAAACAAGGGCUAAAGUUUCCAUUUCUUUGUUGAUGUUGCUGUUUCUUGUGCGCAUGCCAGGGGUGGGCUCUCUCAUAAAGAUAUAUUGCAAUUUAGGUAUGGAAAAGGCAAAGUAUAUUAAAGAAAUGUCUUCUGAAGGAAUCAAUCCUGUGGAUAAAACAUUCAUAAUGCGUAAAUGAAAUAUAAUCUUAAGAUUAAAGUAAUGAUAAAGGAAAUCAGCUAGAUGUGAUUGAAAAGUGAAAUUGAUGACGGACCAUACACUGGGCUUUCUUUUGACAGGUAUUCUUAUUGCAGUUGGGAAUGUCCUGAAAAUAUAACGGCGAAGUUCUAAAAUGAUGUCUUGACUUCUGCAGAUGCUAUUCAAGGGUUUCCCAGAAAAGUGUGAUGCUUUAAAGAAGUUGAGAAUGGGCGUGAUGGAAAGGGUAUCUUCAGCAAGGUGGGCAACCGAGUGGGAGGAAAAUGCUAAGCCCUUAAUAUCUAAGGCAAGUCAACUAUCCUUAAUCUGGAGUUUUCGGUUACUCUCUUCUACAUCUUCUGUUACGAAGUUUUCAAGUGAAACUUAUUCAGGCUUUGAGAUCUUUUUGCCAUUGAUUUAAUCCUAUACUAGAUCACUGAAUCAAUGAUAAUAUGCACUAUUUCAGGUCAUUUCUGAGAACUUCAGCUGAAGGUGCAGGAGUGUAACAUAAAAAAUUUUCGAGUUUGAAAUUUUCUUUAUGCAUUUAUAGGUAGAUAUACCCUAACUCAUCAAGUCUCUGGUCGGGAGGGGACUACUCUUGCUCCCCUGCGGCCCUGCCUGCCCCCUAGAUUUGUUGGGACAGCAUACAAAUUUUUCUUUCUCCCCCAGUGGACGAUAGCCUGCAGCAGAUCUCCAUGAAGAAUUUUAUUUUGACUUCAAACUGGAAACAUUAGCAAACUUUGUCAUGAGGAAAAAUAUGUUCAUAAAACAAAACAUCCCUCGAAGUAUAAAUCUUUAUUGUUUCAAGAUCAUAAAUUCUAGAAAAAUUCUAUAUCCCCUUUGUCCAAAAGGAUACCCAAUAUGUAUACCAGGCUUUGAACAUGCAUCAGAUUUGUAGGUGAAAGAUCAUGGGCAAGCAUAUACACCCAAAAACUCAACGUUGAGUUGCCUAAAGUCAUUUCAUGGGGUGUUUUACCAUUUAAGACAGACGGGGGAAUUUUAUGAUUCGAUAAACAGUGGAAAAAAAUGCACUCUUCCC
RNAcentral lists this long non-coding RNA (1417 nucleotides) under Olea europaea subsp. europaea. The record is from RNAcentral. Lineage: Eukaryota; Viridiplantae; Streptophyta; Magnoliopsida; Lamiales; Oleaceae.